Molecule: long non-coding RNA, 906 nt
Organism: Lotus japonicus
Lineage: Eukaryota; Viridiplantae; Streptophyta; Magnoliopsida; Fabales; Fabaceae
Exons: 3
Source: RefSeq, a predicted model, not a curated record
AUAUUCAGUUUCACUCUUGAGCAUAUUUGUUUUUUGAUUAUUUAAAGCCCCCUUAGUCUCUUUUGAAAGGUAGGGAAAGAGCACAUCAUGAGUCUCUUUCAUGAACUAAGAUGUCUGUUCCAUGUCUUUCUCAUCUUCAUCAUCUGAAUUCAUUGAGGAAAAUGAGUGAGAUCUAUCCAUCAUAAAAGCUUAAAAGCUCUACAACUUCUUCUCUGAAUUUGUUGGUGUUGAUGGGUAUGGUUUAGAUAUUGUUCAUAAGAAAUUUUGAGACGCUUUGAUUGGUAAGUUAGUUUCAGCUUGUUCAAUAGGUUCUCUUGGCCCAUUGUUUCAAUCAGUGUCCCUCUACUCAAAGUUAGCAUCUUUGAAGUCCCUCCAAGAUUUGGAUCUGAAGCCAUCGCAAAUUAGAGCAUAAUAUCUGUUGCUUUCAGGUUGUCGCAGUUUCUUGUGCUAAAGAAUUUGUAAUGGUGAUGGAAAGUGUGGUCAUGGCAGGGAAGGCCUCAGUUGAAAGAAACAAUAGUCAAAGACAAGGCAAUAUGAUCUGGUGGUGCAGUUAUCAUAUGUUACUUGCAUGGGUUUUUUUAAAAGCUCAUCCAUGAAUAUGAUAAUGGUGAUAGUCAACUCUUGUACGGGAUCACAUGGAUCUCAAUCUAUGAUAUGAUGAGGUCCGUUGUUCUUGUACUGCUGAAGAGAGUUCCCCUUGACAACUUCAAAAUUCUACACUGUUUUAAUCUCAUUUUCUCAUUAGUUACUUUUUUUCGCAUGCAGUUUAAGUCUCUUUUUCGUGUAAUAGCUAGUUCUCAAGAGAUUUACCAUCUUGUUGCUCUUUGCAGCAGAAGGAAAUAAAUCGAACUUUAUGUGCUUGAAAUUGUUGAAUUAUUAAGGUAUAUUUUGAGAAAGUUUGCUGAA